Non-coding RNA from Biomphalaria pfeifferi, 210 nucleotides. The record is from the annotation of a GenBank genome assembly. NCBI's taxonomy places the organism in Eukaryota, Metazoa, Mollusca, Gastropoda, Planorbidae.
UUACACUUUAUUUCAUUUUUUUUUUUAAAAUUCUUCUCUAAACAAAGGAUGGCCAUUAUAGUUAUUCAUUUGACUUUUGACAUUAAGUACAACCAUCUUUUAUCAAGUGUGGUAGCAUAAUAGCAGCAUGCUGAUAAGACUAUAGUUUGCUGUGACCCAUCUCUGUCCAUACUUAGAUAUUUCUUCUCAGCAUAUAUUUAUUUAGUGACU